UUCGCAGUAUAUUCCUUGUGAUAUUGGUGUCAUUUAAAUUAUCCAAUCACAGGAUUAUACUGUGAG
This 66-nucleotide microRNA precursor is filed under the name Clunio marinus. RNAcentral describes it as "mir-308 microRNA precursor family". It matches the Rfam family "mir-308 microRNA precursor family". Lineage: Eukaryota; Metazoa; Arthropoda; Insecta; Diptera; Chironomidae. The record is from Rfam by way of RNAcentral.